Molecule: ribosomal RNA, 2930 nt
Filed under: Escherichia coli
Lineage: Bacteria; Pseudomonadati; Pseudomonadota; Gammaproteobacteria; Enterobacterales; Enterobacteriaceae
Description: bacterial LSU rRNA
Rfam family: Bacterial large subunit ribosomal RNA
Source: RNAcentral
GGGUUGUGAGGUUAAGCGACUAAGCGUACACGGUGGAUGCCCUGGCAGUCAGAGGCGAUGAAGGACGUGCUAAUCUGCGAUAAGCGUCGGUAAGGUGAUAUGAACCGUUAUAACCGGCGAUUUCCGAAUGGGGAAACCCAGUGUGAUUCGUCACACUAUCAUUAACUGAAUCCAUAGGUUAAUGAGGCGAACCGGGGGAACUGAAACAUCUAAGUACCCCGAGGAAAAGAAAUCAACCGAGAUUCCCCCAGUAGCGGCGAGCGAACGGGGAGGAGCCCAGAGCCUGAAUCAGUGUGUGUGUUAGUGGAAGCGUCUGGAAAGGCGCGCGAUACAGGGUGACAGCCCCGUACACAAAAAUGCACAUGCUGUGAGCUCGAUGAGUAGGGCGGGACACGUGGUAUCCUGUCUGAAUAUGGGGGGACCAUCCUCCAAGGCUAAAUACUCCUGACUGACCGAUAGUGAACCAGUACCGUGAGGGAAAGGCGAAAAGAACCCCGGCGAGGGGAGUGAAAAAGAACCUGAAACCGUGUACGUACAAGCAGUGGGAGCACGCUUAGGCGUGUGACUGCGUACCUUUUGUAUAAUGGGUCAGCGACUUAUAUUCUGUAGCAAGGUUAACCGAAUAGGGGAGCCGAAGGGAAACCGAGUCUUAACUGGGCGUUAAGUUGCAGGGUAUAGACCCGAAACCCGGUGAUCUAGCCAUGGGCAGGUUGAAGGUUGGGUAACACUAACUGGAGGACCGAACCGACUAAUGUUGAAAAAUUAGCGGAUGACUUGUGGCUGGGGGUGAAAGGCCAAUCAAACCGGGAGAUAGCUGGUUCUCCCCGAAAGCUAUUUAGGUAGCGCCUCGUGAAUUCAUCUCCGGGGGUAGAGCACUGUUUCGGCAAGGGGGUCAUCCCGACUUACCAACCCGAUGCAAACUGCGAAUACCGGAGAAUGUUAUCACGGGAGACACACGGCGGGUGCUAACGUCCGUCGUGAAGAGGGAAACAACCCAGACCGCCAGCUAAGGUCCCAAAGUCAUGGUUAAGUGGGAAACGAUGUGGGAAGGCCCAGACAGCCAGGAUGUUGGCUUAGAAGCAGCCAUCAUUUAAAGAAAGCGUAAUAGCUCACUGGUCGAGUCGGCCUGCGCGGAAGAUGUAACGGGGCUAAACCAUGCACCGAAGCUGCGGCAGCGACGCUUAUGCGUUGUUGGGUAGGGGAGCGUUCUGUAAGCCUGUGAAGGUGUGCUGUGAGGCAUGCUGGAGGUAUCAGAAGUGCGAAUGCUGACAUAAGUAACGAUAAAGCGGGUGAAAAGCCCGCUCGCCGGAAGACCAAGGGUUCCUGUCCAACGUUAAUCGGGGCAGGGUGAGUCGACCCCUAAGGCGAGGCCGAAAGGCGUAGUCGAUGGGAAACAGGUUAAUAUUCCUGUACUUGGUGUUACUGCGAAGGGGGGACGGAGAAGGCUAUGUUGGCCGGGCGACGGUUGUCCCGGUUUAAGCGUGUAGGCUGGUUUUCCAGGCAAAUCCGGAAAAUCAAGGCUGAGGCGUGAUGACGAGGCACUACGGUGCUGAAGCAACAAAUGCCCUGCUUCCAGGAAAAGCCUCUAAGCAUCAGGUAACAUCAAAUCGUACCCCAAACCGACACAGGUGGUCAGGUAGAGAAUACCAAGGCGCUUGAGAGAACUCGGGUGAAGGAACUAGGCAAAAUGGUGCCGUAACUUCGGGAGAAGGCACGCUGAUAUGUAGGUGAAGCGACUUGCUCGUGGAGCUGAAAUCAGUCGAAGAUACCAGCUGGCUGCAACUGUUUAUUAAAAACACAGCACUGUGCAAACACGAAAGUGGACGUAUACGGUGUGACGCCUGCCCGGUGCCGGAAGGUUAAUUGAUGGGGUCAGCGCAAGCGAAGCUCUUGAUCGAAGCCCCGGUAAACGGCGGCCGUAACUAUAACGGUCCUAAGGUAGCGAAAUUCCUUGUCGGGUAAGUUCCGACCUGCACGAAUGGCGUAAUGAUGGCCAGGCUGUCUCCACCCGAGACUCAGUGAAAUUGAACUCGCUGUGAAGAUGCAGUGUACCCGCGGCAAGACGGAAAGACCCCGUGAACCUUUACUAUAGCUUGACACUGAACAUUGAGCCUUGAUGUGUAGGAUAGGUGGGAGGCUUUGAAGUGUGGACGCCAGUCUGCAUGGAGCCGACCUUGAAAUACCACCCUUUAAUGUUUGAUGUUCUAACGUUGACCCGUAAUCCGGGUUGCGGACAGUGUCUGGUGGGUAGUUUGACUGGGGCGGUCUCCUCCUAAAGAGUAACGGAGGAGCACGAAGGUUGGCUAAUCCUGGUCGGACAUCAGGAGGUUAGUGCAAUGGCAUAAGCCAGCUUGACUGCGAGCGUGACGGCGCGAGCAGGUGCGAAAGCAGGUCAUAGUGAUCCGGUGGUUCUGAAUGGAAGGGCCAUCGCUCAACGGAUAAAAGGUACUCCGGGGAUAACAGGCUGAUACCGCCCAAGAGUUCAUAUCGACGGCGGUGUUUGGCACCUCGAUGUCGGCUCAUCACAUCCUGGGGCUGAAGUAGGUCCCAAGGGUAUGGCUGUUCGCCAUUUAAAGUGGUACGCGAGCUGGGUUUAGAACGUCGUGAGACAGUUCGGUCCCUAUCUGCCGUGGGCGCUGGAGAACUGAGGGGGGCUGCUCCUAGUACGAGAGGACCGGAGUGGACGCAUCACUGGUGUUCGGGUUGUCAUGCCAAUGGCACUGCCCGGUAGCUAAAUGCGGAAGAGAUAAGUGCUGAAAGCAUCUAAGCACGAAACUUGCCCCGAGAUGAGUUCUCCCUGACUCCUUGAGAGUCCUGAAGGAACGUUGAAGACGACGACGUUGAUAGGCCGGGUGUGUAAGCGCAGCGAUGCGUUGAGCUAACCGGUACUAAUGAACCGUGAGGCUUAACCUUACAACGCCGAAGCUGUU